RNAcentral lists this ribosomal RNA (484 nucleotides) under uncultured bacterium. RNAcentral's name for it is "partial 16S ribosomal RNA". It matches the Rfam family "Bacterial small subunit ribosomal RNA", at positions 30 to 507 of the family's 1533-position model. The record is from RNAcentral.
AUUGAACGCUAGCGGGAUGCUUUACACAUGCAAGUCGAACGGCAGCGCGGACUUCGGUCUGGCGGCGAGUGGCGAACGGGUGAGUAAUGUAUCGGAACGUGCCCAGUAGCGGGGGAUAACUACGCGAAAGCGUAGCUAAUACCGCAUACGCCCUACGGGGGAAAGCAGGGGAUCGUAAGACCUUGCACUAUUGGAGCGGCCGAUAUCGGAUUAGCUAGUUGGUGAGGUAACGGCUCACCAAGGCGACGAUCCGUAGCUGGUUUGAGAGGACGACCAGCCGCACUGGGACUGAGACACGGCCCAGACUCCUACGGGAGGCAGCAGUGGGGAAUUUUGGACAAUGGGGGCAACCCUGAUCCAGCCAUCCCGCGUGUGCGAUGAAGGCCUUCGGGUUGUAAAGCACUUUUGGCAGGAAAGAAACGUCGCGGGCUAAUACCCCGUGGAACUGACGGUACCUGCAGAAUAAGCACCGGCUAACUACGCG